UACGGAGGGUGCGAGCGUUGCUCGGAAUCACUGGGCGUAAAGGGUGCGUAGGCGGAUCUUUAAGUCAGAGGUGAAAGCCUGGAGCUCAACUCCAGAACUGCCUUUGAUACUGGGGAUCUUGAGUUCGGGAGAGGUGAGUGGAACUGCGAGCGUAGAGGUGAAAUUCGUAGAUAUUCGCAAGAACACCAGUGGCGAAGGCGGCUCACUGGCCCGAUACUGAUGCUGAGGCACGAAAGCGUGGGGAGCAAACAGG
This 253-nucleotide ribosomal RNA is filed under the name uncultured bacterium. RNAcentral's name for it is "partial 16S ribosomal RNA". It matches the Rfam family "Bacterial small subunit ribosomal RNA", at positions 524 to 776 of the family's 1533-position model. The record is from RNAcentral.